GGCGAUGUAGCUCAGUGACACAGCGCCUGCCUGGGAAGCAUGAGGUCCUGAGUUCGAUCCUCAGUACCA
Molecule: transfer RNA, 69 nt
Filed under: Fukomys damarensis (Damara mole-rat)
Lineage: Eukaryota; Metazoa; Chordata; Mammalia; Rodentia; Bathyergidae
Rfam family: tRNA
About the family: Transfer RNA (tRNA) molecules are approximately 80 nucleotides in length.
Source: Rfam by way of RNAcentral